CCUCUGGUCAAUCUAUCUGAAGGUCAUGUUCAAACACUCUUGUCCCAAGUGCUGUAUUAGUCUUACCAUUCUUGAUUCGACUGUAAAGAUUGUGGCUAGUCCAUCCAAUGUAUAUACCUCAUCCCUAUUUAGGUUAUGUUUAACAGGAAUCUGAUAGACACCAGAUCUCAAAUUAGGAUGUAUGGGCAGCUUGUCAUUCGUCAGGUGUUGGAAAAUCAUGUUAGUUUUUUUAAAUGUGAUCCUCCAUUCACCAAUCUUCUCCAACAAUCUAAGAUUCUUUUUCACAGAUAUACAGUACAGUAGGGCUGCAUAUUCCAUUUCCCUUACCAGUUGUACCCCACUUCAUGGUGAAAAGUUAGCUUUCUUUAUUCAGUGCAUAGCACUCACAACAGGUUUCUGGAUGAUAGUUGGCUCUAUGCCUUGUCUUACAAGAUUUUCCACCUACUUGUCCUUUGUCCCUUAUGUCAAGUGAUGAAUCAAGGCCCUCCUAGAGAUGUCAAAAGCUGCCAGCUUGUAAUAUUCUGAAUCAUAUGAUGCCUUCCUUAUAUAAAUUGUCCUGAACAUCAGUUUCCUAUAAACUUAUUAUAGCAGGAAUUUUCUACAUUUAUAUCGACAUCAAGAAAGUGUAUAUUCUUUUUCAUUUGGUCCAGAUUCAACUGAAUGCCUAGGGAGUCAUCUGUUAAAGGGUCUUUUCUGCUUA
RNAcentral lists this long non-coding RNA (700 nucleotides) under Androctonus crassicauda. Lineage: Eukaryota; Metazoa; Arthropoda; Arachnida; Scorpiones; Buthidae. The record is from RNAcentral.